Molecule: ribosomal RNA, 253 nt
Filed under: uncultured bacterium
Lineage: Bacteria
Description: partial 16S ribosomal RNA
Rfam family: Bacterial small subunit ribosomal RNA
Source: RNAcentral
UACGUAGGGGGCAAGCGUUAUCCGGAUUUACUGGGUGUAAAGGGAGCGUAGACGGACUUGCAAGUCUGAUGUGAAAAUCCGGGGCCCAACCCCGGAACUGCAUUGGAAACUGUAUAUCUAGAGUGUCGGAGAGGCAAGUGGAAUUCCUGGUGUAGCGGUGAAAUGCGUAGAUAUCAGGAGGAACACCAGUGGCGAAGGCGGAUUGCUGGACAGUAACUGACGCUGAGGCGCGAAAGCGUGGGGAGCAAACAGG